This 76-nucleotide transfer RNA is filed under the name Defluviicoccus sp. RNAcentral describes it as "tRNA-Phe". It matches the Rfam family "tRNA". Rfam says of the family: Transfer RNA (tRNA) molecules are approximately 80 nucleotides in length. Their secondary structure includes four short double-helical elements and three loops (D, anti-codon, and T loops). Further hydrogen bonds mediate the characteristic L-shaped molecular structure. tRNAs have two regions of fundamental functional importance: the anti-codon, which is responsible for specific mRNA codon recognition, and the 3' end, to which the tRNAs corresponding amino acid is attached (by aminoacyl-tRNA synthetases). tRNAs cope with the degeneracy of the genetic code in two manners: having more than one tRNA (with a specific anti-codon) for a particular amino acid; and 'wobble' base-pairing, i.e. permitting non-standard base-pairing at the 3rd anti-codon position. Lineage: Bacteria; Pseudomonadati; Pseudomonadota; Alphaproteobacteria; Rhodospirillales; Rhodospirillaceae. The record is from RNAcentral.
GCCCAGGUAGCUCAGUUGGUAGAGCACAUGACUGAAAAUCAUGGUGUCGGUAGUUCGAUUCUACCCUUGGGCACCA